AGGGAAUAGAUACCCCGGGUAGUCCUGGCAGUAAACGGUGCACGUUUGGUGUGGGCGCAAUCGACCGCGUCCGCGCCGGAGCUAAACGCGUUAAACGUGCCGCCUGGGAAGUACGGUCGCAAGAUUAAAACUCAAAGAAAUUGACGGGGACCCGCACAAGCGGUGGAGUAUGUGGCUUAAUUCGAUGCAACGCGAAGAACCUUACCUGGUCUUGACAUGCAUUGUGUCUCCGGUGAAAGCCGGAUAGGGUAGCAAUACCCGCUUUGCACAGGUGCUGCAUGGCUGUCGUCAGCUCGUGUCGUGAGAUGUUGGGUUAAGUCCCGCAACGAGCGCAACCCCGUGUGAUUUGUUGCCACCGGCUUAUGCCGAGCACUCGAAUCAGACUGCCUCGAUCAACGAGGAGGAAGGUGGGGAUGACGUCAAGUCCGUAUGGCCCUUACGACCAGGGCUGCACACGUACUACAAUGCCCAGUACAAUGUGAA
RNAcentral lists this ribosomal RNA (483 nucleotides) under uncultured bacterium. RNAcentral describes it as "bacterial SSU rRNA". It matches the Rfam family "Bacterial small subunit ribosomal RNA", at positions 773 to 1248 of the family's 1533-position model. The record is from RNAcentral.